UAUCUCUGUAGAGUCUGCAUAUCAAUAAGCGGAGGAAAAGAAACUAACAAGGAUUCCCCUAGUAACGGCGAGUGAGGCGGGAAGAGCUCAAAUUUGAAAUCUUCAAGGUUUACCUUGACGAAUUGUAGUUUAAAGAAGUAUUUUCUGUUAGAGAGUAGGUAAAAGUUCUUUGGAAUAGGACAUCAUAGAGGGUGAGAAUCCCGUAUUUGACUAUUCUUUCUAGCUGUGUGAUACACUUUCAAAGAGUCGGAUUGUUUGGGAAUGCAGUCCAAAAUGGGUGGUAAAUUUCAUCUAAAGCUAAAUAUUGGCGAGAGACCGAUAGCGAACAAGUACCGUGAGGGAAAGAUGAAAAGAACUUUGAAAAGAGAGUUAAACAGUACGUGAAAUUGUCAAAAGGGAAGCGUUUGACACCAGUGUUGUUUUCUCGAAAAUCAAUUAAAAAAGAUUGGAUUUUGUGUAGUAUUGACCUUUAUCAGCUUUCUGCACUUUUUUCUUGUCUUUUUUAAUGCACUUUUCGUUUAACAAGUCAACAUCAAUUUCUUUUGUUGUAAAAGGGUCAUUGGAAGGUGGCUUUCUUUUCGGAGAAAGUGUUUAUAGCCUUUGGCUUCUGCAAUCGGAGAGAUUGAGGUCUGCAGCGUAGAUCCUUCGGGGUUAGAUACAUUUGUGCUAAGUUAUAGCCUUUCAUAGACAACUUGUUGACUAUGAUCAGUCAUGUAGCUUACUCGCUUAUGCUAUUUUACCUACGCUUAGGAUGUUGAGUAGCGACAUACGCAC
This 774-nucleotide ribosomal RNA is filed under the name uncultured Neocallimastigales. RNAcentral describes it as "partial large subunit ribosomal RNA". It matches the Rfam family "Eukaryotic large subunit ribosomal RNA", at positions 24 to 649 of the family's 3401-position model. Lineage: Eukaryota; Fungi; Neocallimastigomycota; Neocallimastigomycetes; Neocallimastigales. The record is from RNAcentral.